This 360-nucleotide ribosomal RNA is filed under the name Triticum aestivum (bread wheat). RNAcentral describes it as "partial small subunit ribosomal RNA". Lineage: Eukaryota; Viridiplantae; Streptophyta; Magnoliopsida; Poales; Poaceae. The record is from RNAcentral.
AUGAGUUGCAUUAGCUGGAACUGCCGGGGGCUUGGGAACCCCGAGGCAGUUCGUGAACUUCGCAGUAUUGUGAAGUUGGAAGGCCCCGCCCUACUCUUUGUUAUGGAAACGAAAAUCAGAGCAAAAAGAGUAGAGGACUUGCAGAACAAUUUGGGUUUUGCUGGUAGUUUUGCGGUAGACAGUGCGGGCCUUAGUGGCGGCAUUGGUCUUUUCUGGUCACGUGAUGUGUCUGUUGAGCUCAAAAACUACAGUCAACACCACAUUGAUGUCUUGGUUACUCAUAACCUACUGAAUUCUCCACCCUGGAGGUUUACAGGGUUCUAUGGAGCACCGCGAGCGGAUGAAAGACACCACAGCUAG